RNAcentral lists this ribosomal RNA (450 nucleotides) under uncultured bacterium. RNAcentral's name for it is "bacterial SSU rRNA". It matches the Rfam family "Bacterial small subunit ribosomal RNA", at positions 354 to 796 of the family's 1533-position model. The record is from RNAcentral.
GUGGGGAAUAUUGGACAAUGGGCGAAAGCCUGAUCCAGCCAUGCCGCGUGUGUGAAGAAGGUCUUCGGAUUGUAAAGCACUUUAAGUUGGGAGGAAGGGCAGUAAGUUAAUACCUUGCUGUUUUGACGUUACCAACAGAAUAAGCACCGGCUAACUUCGUGCCAGCAGCCGCGGUAAUACGAAGGGUGCAAGCGUUAAUCGGAAUUACUGGGCGUAAAGCGCGCGUAGGGGGUUUUGUAAGUUGGAGGUGAAAUCCCCGGGCUCAACCUGGGAACUGCCUCCAAAACUGCAUGACUAGAGUACGGUAGAGGGUAGUGGAAUUUCCUGUGUAGCGGUGAAAUGCGUAGAUAUAGGAAGGAACACCAGUGGCGAAGGCGACUACCUGGACUGAUACUGACACUGAGGUGCGAAAGCGUGGGGAGCAAACAGGAUUAGAUACCCGAGUAGUCC